RNAcentral lists this non-coding RNA (122 nucleotides) under Paenibacillus sp. RNAcentral's name for it is "TPP sequence". It matches the Rfam family "TPP riboswitch aptamer (THI element)". From Rfam's summary of the family: Vitamin B(1) in its active form thiamin pyrophosphate (TPP) is an essential coenzyme that is synthesised by coupling of pyrimidine and thiazole moieties in bacteria. The previously detected thiamin-regulatory element, thi box was extended, resulting in a new, highly conserved RNA secondary structure, the THI element, which is widely distributed in eubacteria and also occurs in some archaea. Lineage: Bacteria; Bacillati; Bacillota; Bacilli; Caryophanales; Paenibacillaceae. The record is from RNAcentral. RNAcentral also lists the same sequence under 1 other name.
CGCAUAGCACCGGGGAGCUGGAGAGGCCGGCUGAGAGGGGAUUCCGCUUGCGUGCGCAACAAAUCCCGACCCGUAUACCUGAUCUGGAUAAUGCCAGCGUAGGAACUGAUUUAUUGAUUGCG